UAUAAUCCCUCUUAAACAUUUCCCCCAAAUUACCCAAACCCUAGAUAAAUUAGAGUAAGGACACUACUGUUUUUCUUCUUCAUUGAGCCCGACCCCAACUCGCCUGGAACUCACCCGAGUUCACUCAAAACGAUUCCCCGUCUCAACGUCAUUUGAUUCCUAACAGAUUUGUCAUAGAGGAGUACGAAUUUUUUCUCCCAAAUCGCACGAUUUUGAGUGAAAAAGGACAAUUGUCGGAAGAAUGGGAGCUGUGGAUAGAUGUAAAUCAAUCCACGCCCUCCAUUUGUACCAAGAUUUUUGAAGUUUUUAGCAGAUUUUCGAGAAUUUUUUAGGGCUCUAUAUAUAUGAGGUAAGUCUUCUGUGCAAGGCUAGAGAAAAAAUCAAAGAAAAAGAUCGGAAAAAUCUUAAACAGCCGAGUUGAAAACUUCAAAGGUUUUUUUUAGUCAUCACUUUUCUUCAAGUCCUUUUCUUCCGUACUUCCAUUUAUUUCAAAAAACAUACCCAAAAAAAGGAAAAUGGUUUGAGUUCGUUUUGAUUUGAGUUUUACUUCAUUUUUCUAGGGAAGAAAAAAAAAAUCACUAAGAGACAGAUAUUUCUUAAUGCUUAUUCCUUCUUUAGAGAUUUUGGUUUUUCUCACGAGUGCUUGACUUAAAAAUUCAAGUUGGAGUCGAGUUUUGGGUUGGAGUUCAAAUUUUCGAUAUUGGCUCGGUUCAAGCUGGUUGAUUCCUAUGUUAUUGUUGUUGUUUGUUUCAAGCUUUGAGCCUUUGUUUUAUUCGAGUUGGUUUAAACUGUUGUAAUCGUUGAAGUUUCAUUAAUUGAAAGGUACAAUUCCAGGUUCAUAUUUCUCCCUUGUGUCUCUGUUUUUCUUUCUUUUUCUCAGUGUUACAGUCGUGCGAUUAAAGUUUGGUGACGACGUACUCUCUCUAGAGUUGUUGUGAUUGUAAUGUAUGAGAAGGUCGUCGAGACAGAUGCAUAUGCUAAGCAUUCAUCAUAGAAUUUGUUUACUGUAUCGUGUGUGAGUUGUUGAAGUUUGGUUAAAAAAUGUCCUUGUGUUUUCUCUUGAUUUCUUCAGUCAAGAAUUCUCCUUGUUUAAACUUGCUAUUAUGUGGAAACAAAACAAGUCCUUUCUUCGUCAUGUUAAUUUUCUCAAAGCCCUUUGUUGCUGUAUCUUUUUCUGUAGUCUGGGUUCAAGGCUUCAUUCUUAUGUUUCAAAGCGUUUUCUCACUGUUUGUAAUUCUCCAUUGUAGUUUUGUAUCAUCUUUGAUUGUAUAGUUUGACCACCUCUAUGAUUGCCAAGAAUAAUAUGCACAACAGCCAUUUUGUUUA
RNAcentral lists this long non-coding RNA (1326 nucleotides) under Nicotiana benthamiana. RNAcentral's name for it is "long non-coding RNA (NBEN_LNC021023)". Lineage: Eukaryota; Viridiplantae; Streptophyta; Magnoliopsida; Solanales; Solanaceae. The record is from RNAcentral.